This 71-nucleotide transfer RNA is filed under the name Myctophum orientale (oriental lanternfish). Its description in RNAcentral is "tRNA-Trp". It matches the Rfam family "tRNA". Rfam says of the family: Transfer RNA (tRNA) molecules are approximately 80 nucleotides in length. Their secondary structure includes four short double-helical elements and three loops (D, anti-codon, and T loops). The record is from RNAcentral. Lineage: Eukaryota; Metazoa; Chordata; Actinopteri; Myctophiformes; Myctophidae.
AGGGGUUUAGGCUAACACUAGACCGCGGGCCUUCAAAGCCCUAAGCGGGAGUGAAAAUCUCCCAACCCCUG